CUACGGGAGGCUGCAGUGGGGAAUAUUGCGCAAUGGGGGAAACCCUGACGCAGCAACGCCGCGUGGGUGAUGAAGGUUUUCGGAUCGUAAAACCCUGUUUUCUGGGACGAUAAUGACGGUACCAGAUGAGGAAGCCACGGCUAACUACGUGCCAGCAGCCGCGGUAAUACGUAGGUGGCAAGCGUUGUCCGGAUUUACUGGGCGUAAAGGGUGCGUAGGCGGAUGCUUAAGUGAGAUGUGAAAUACCUAGGCUUAACUUAGGGGCUGCAUUUCAAACUGGGCAUCUAGAGUACAGGAGAGGGAAACGGAAUUCCUAGUGUAGCGGUGAAAUGCGUAGAGAUUAGGAAGAACACCAGUGGCGAAGGCGGUUUCCUGGACUGUAACUGACGCUGAGGCACGAAAGCGUGGGUAGCAAACAGGAUUAGAUACCCGGGUAGUC
This 439-nucleotide ribosomal RNA is filed under the name uncultured bacterium. RNAcentral's name for it is "partial 16S ribosomal RNA". It matches the Rfam family "Bacterial small subunit ribosomal RNA", at positions 339 to 795 of the family's 1533-position model. The record is from RNAcentral.